CCUACGGGAGGCAGCAGUGGGGAAUUUUGCACAAUGGGGGAAACCCUGAUGCAGCGACGCCGCGUGAUUUAGAAGGCCUUCGGGUUGUAAAAAUCUUUUGUAUAGGAAGAAAAUGACAGUACUAUACGAAUAAGGUCCGGCUAAUUACGUGCCAGCAGCCGCGGUAAUACGUAAGGACCGAGCGUUGUCCGGAAUCAUUGGGCGUAAAGGGUACGUAGGCGGUUAACUAAGUUAGAAGACAAAGGCUAUAGCUCAACUAUAGUAAGCUUUUAAAACUGGUUAACUUGAGAGAUGGAAGGGAAAGUGGAAUUCCUAGUGUAGCGGUGAAAUUCGCAGAUAUUAGGAGGAAUACCGGUGGCGAAGGCGACUUUCUGGCCAUUAUCUGACGCUGAGGUACGAAAGCGUGGGUAGCAAACAGGAUUAGAUACCCCAGUAGGC
RNAcentral lists this ribosomal RNA (438 nucleotides) under uncultured Anaerococcus sp. RNAcentral's name for it is "bacterial SSU rRNA". It matches the Rfam family "Bacterial small subunit ribosomal RNA", at positions 338 to 795 of the family's 1533-position model. The record is from RNAcentral. Lineage: Bacteria; Bacillati; Bacillota; Tissierellia; Tissierellales; Peptoniphilaceae.